This 82-nucleotide transfer RNA is filed under the name Flavobacteriales bacterium. RNAcentral's name for it is "tRNA-Tyr". It matches the Rfam family "tRNA". From Rfam's summary of the family: Transfer RNA (tRNA) molecules are approximately 80 nucleotides in length. Lineage: Bacteria; Pseudomonadati; Bacteroidota; Flavobacteriia; Flavobacteriales. The record is from RNAcentral.
GGGGAGAUACUCAAGCGGCCAACGAGGACAGACCGUAAAUCUGUUGGUUACACCUUCUCAGGUUCGAAUCCUGCUCUCCCCA